GAUGAACGCUGGCGGCGUGCCUAAUACAUGCAAGUCGAGCGAACAGACGAGGAGCUUGCUCCUUUGACGUUAGCGGCGGACGGGUGAGUAACACGUAGGUAACCUACCUAUAAGACUGGGAUAACUUCGGGAAACCGGAGCUAAUACCGGAUGAUAUUUCGAACCGCAUGGUUCGAUAGUGAAAGAUGGCUUUGCUAUCACUUAUAGAUGGACCUGCGCCGUAUUAGCUAGUUGGUAAGGUAACGGCUUACCAAGGCAACGAUACGUAGCCGACCUGAGAGGGUGAUCGGCCACACUGGAACUGAGACACGGUCCAGACUCCUACGGGAGGCAGCAGUAGGGAAUCUUCCGCAAAGGGCGAAAGCCUGACGGAGCAACGCCGCGUGAGUGAUGAAGGUCUUCGGAUCGUAAAACUCUGUUAUUAGGGAAGAACAGACGUGUAAGUAACUGUGCACGUCUUGACGGUACCUAAUCAGAAAGCCACGGCUAACUACGUG
RNAcentral lists this ribosomal RNA (497 nucleotides) under uncultured bacterium. RNAcentral describes it as "partial 16S ribosomal RNA". It matches the Rfam family "Bacterial small subunit ribosomal RNA", at positions 28 to 507 of the family's 1533-position model. The record is from RNAcentral.